GUGCCAGUGCUCGCUGGGGGUUGUGAGUCGCAGAAACAGGCUAUGUGUUUUUCUGACAGAUAGGUAUGUAGCAGAGUUUUUACUUCAUAAUCAGUUCACUUAGUCUGCAGGGUGUGCUGCAGGGAAGCUGGUCAGAAAAUCUCUGGAUAAUCAAUGUGCUUACAAAAAAAAAAAAAAAAAACUUAGUACGAAAAAAACAUCUACGUAAAUGCAAAGACGCUCGAAGGGGAGUGAGUCUGCCCUGUCACGCGUGGAAGGUGCCUUUUGAAAAAUGCAUAGGUAAAAGGACCGAAGCGCUGCUAGCCCAGUUGGCUAAAACGUAGCAACCUGUGCACGACCGGAGCAGGUCCACCUGGCGCUGGUCAAAAACGGGAAACUAACCACAUCCAAAACCCCGCCGCAAAGAGGCCGGCAAGGAAAGAAGGGCUUGAAGUGCACGACCCAGUGAAAUGUUGCAAACUGGAGUGGUUGGAGCCCUCCCAGCCGGGCUGGAUGGGAUACAAGCAUUGAAGCUCAGUUGCCUGGGUCCACGGGUGUGGUGGAAUGAGGUGAAAAGUCAUAUCAAGAUGGCCGCUGAGGUGAAAAGGUCAUGCCAAGAUGGCCACUGACAACAGAAACUGCCUGGCAACAGGCCGUGAUUGGAUGGCUUCGGAAACCACAUGACAACAGAGAGCCUGACUGACGGCAGGCCGUGAUUGGACGGUCAGAAACUGCCUGGCAACAAGAGCCUGACUGGCAACAGGCUGUGAUUGAAUGGCUUUGGAAACUGCCUGGCAACAGGCUGUGAUUGAUUGGGGCAUAGACCGCCCCUUGACCAGAUUGGCUGGUCUUGACUAUAUAAGCUGUUGUACUAACUGAAAUAAAUGAGUCUGCAGGCUGCUUGCCUCAAGCCCGCUUUCACCCGACUCCCGACGCCCAGGGUCUGUGUGGUGACUCUGCACCUCUUGCCCCUACCACGCUUCUCUCAGAAACGAAUCCACUGCAACAUUGUUGAGAAAUCAACUGCAACACAGGGGGUUAUUUUCAGUCUUUCUCUGAUUGCUACACACUCCUCCUGUUAUUGUAUCUCAUGUCAACAACAGAGUCCACAUGAAAAUACCAAGUCUGCCAAAUAAAAGGAAAGUGAGAAAUUUACAAAGAACAUCUAUACAACUUUACUGCCCAGCUGGACUCACGCUGGAGUAUAUUUCGUUGUUCUAGUUCUUCUGGUGUUGGUCUUUGACUCAGUCGCCUGGAAAGAAGAAAAGUAAGG
Molecule: long non-coding RNA, 1252 nt
Organism: Oryctolagus cuniculus (rabbit)
Lineage: Eukaryota; Metazoa; Chordata; Mammalia; Lagomorpha; Leporidae
Source: RefSeq, a predicted model, not a curated record